CUACGGGUGGCUGCAGUGGGGAAUCUUAGACAAUGGGCGCAAGCCUGAUCUAGCCAUGCCGCGUGAGUGAUGAAGGCCUUAGGGUCGUAAAGCUCUUUCGCUGGGGAAGAUAAUGACGGUACCCAGUAAAGAAACCCCGGCUGACUCCGUGCCAGCAGCCGCGGUAAUACGGAGGGGGUUAGCGUUGUUCGGAAUUACUGGGCGUAAAGCGCGCGUAGGCGGACUGUUAAGUCGGGGGUGAAAUCCCGGGGCUCAACCCCGGAACGGCCUUCGAUACUGGCAGUCUGGAGUUCGAGAGAGGUGAGUGGAGUUCCGAGUGUAGAGGUGAAAUUCGUAGAUAUUCGGGGGAACACCAGUGGCGAGGGCGGCUCACUGGCUCGAUACUGACGCUGAGGUGCGAAAGUGUGGGGAGCAAGCAGGAUUAGAUACCCUUGUAGUC
Molecule: ribosomal RNA, 439 nt
Filed under: uncultured bacterium
Lineage: Bacteria
Description: partial 16S ribosomal RNA
Rfam family: Bacterial small subunit ribosomal RNA
Source: RNAcentral